GCUGUAUAAUAAAUCUAAAUCUG
This 23-nucleotide small nuclear RNA is filed under the name Arabidopsis thaliana (thale cress). RNAcentral describes it as "snRNA_07640". The record is from RNAcentral. Lineage: Eukaryota; Viridiplantae; Streptophyta; Magnoliopsida; Brassicales; Brassicaceae.